CAGCAGCCGCGGUAAUACGUAGGGUGCAAGCGUUAAUCGGAAUUACUGGGCGUAAAGCGUGCGCAGGCGGUUAUAUAAGACAGAUGUGAAAUCCCCGGGCUCAACCUGGGAACUGCAUUUGUGACUGUAUAGCUAGAGUACGGCAGAGGGGGAUGGAAUUCCGCGUGUAGCAGUGAAAUGCGUAGAUAUGCGGAGGAACACCGAUGGCGAAGGCAAUCCCCUGGGCCUGUACUGACGCUCAUGCACGAAAGCGUGGGGAGCAAACAGGAUUAGAUACUCGUGUAGUCCCUGUCUCUUAUAC
RNAcentral lists this ribosomal RNA (301 nucleotides) under uncultured bacterium. RNAcentral's name for it is "partial 16S ribosomal RNA". It matches the Rfam family "Bacterial small subunit ribosomal RNA", at positions 509 to 807 of the family's 1533-position model. The record is from RNAcentral.